AAAAAAAAAAAAAAAAAAAAAGAACAGAACAACUAAACCCUGCUGCUCUUCUGCAUGUACAAUUUUAGUAGAGGUGCAGUUGAAUCCUGUCCGUUAACCUUAUUCAACUUGUCUCAUCAUUUUGUAUCGAUUCCCCUUCUCACACUCCUUAAUUUGUAACUUAUCUCUACUGCGCAAAAUAAAAAAGAAUGCAUCCUCUACUUCACCAAUUUUUGUCCUUUAAUAGAUUGUAACUGCAAUGGAUUUUAAUAUUUUAAUACAUGACAUUACCAAAUAUUUUGGAUCCAUUUAGUUGGAAUAUGUGGUUGCACAAUUUUGAAUGUAGGCACAGGUUUCUGAAGCGGCAGGAUGUGUGACUCGUGGUUGUUGCUAAUAAACGGCUCAGCCAAAAAGAGACUGAAGCAGCAUAUGACCAAAUGAGAGUCAAAGGCAAGGCUUGCGGGGUAUUUAUCAUGUUACAUAUGAAUGUACUUGUGUUGGAGGAAGUGGUGGAUUGCAUGGUUUGAUAGGUGUGACUCUGAAUAAUAUUGAUAGGCAUCAAGUGUAUUAUAAGGUUGCCGUUGAUGAAGGAUAAAAAUGCAGGUAGUCAGUUGAGGAAAUGGCUGCUUUUGAUUGACAUUUUAUCCAACAAAAAGUAUAACAAUUUGUGUUUGUUAUCUUUUCUCCUUAGUAUAUUUGUAGGACUUUGUUUUUCAUUGAAUGUACAUAGUAUGAAGCUUUAUUAUGUUGUAUGGAAAGGUCUUCUCAUUACCUGUUAAAA
Lycium ferocissimum is the source of this 760-nucleotide long non-coding RNA. RefSeq lists it as uncharacterized. The record is from RefSeq and is a predicted model, not a curated record. Lineage: Eukaryota; Viridiplantae; Streptophyta; Magnoliopsida; Solanales; Solanaceae. The transcript has 2 exons.